Molecule: ribosomal RNA, 474 nt
Filed under: Morganella morganii
Lineage: Bacteria; Pseudomonadati; Pseudomonadota; Gammaproteobacteria; Enterobacterales; Morganellaceae
Description: bacterial SSU rRNA
Rfam family: Bacterial small subunit ribosomal RNA
Source: RNAcentral
UAAUUGAAGAGUUUGAUCAUGGCUCAGAUUGAACGCUGGCGGCAGGCCUAACACAUGCAAGUCGGGCGGUAACAGGGAGAAGCUUGCUUCUCUGCUGACGAGCGGCGGACGGGUGAGUAAUGUAUGGGGAUCUGCCUGAUGGCGGGGGAUAACUACUGGAAACGGUAGCUAAUACCGCAUAAUGUCUUCGGACCAAAGCGGGGGACCUCCGGGCCUCGCGCCAUCAGAUGAACCCAUAUGGGAUUAGCUAGUAGGUAAGGUAACGGCUUACCUAGGCGACGAUCCCUAGCUGGUCUGAGAGGAUGAUCAGCCACACUGGGACUGAGACACGGCCCAGACUCCUACGGGAGGCAGCAGUGGGGAAUAUUGCACAAUGGGCGCAAGCCUGAUGCAGCCAUGCCGCGUGUAUGAAGAAGGCCUUCGGGUUGUAAAGUACUUUCAGUCGGGAGGAAGGUGUCAAGGUUAAUAACCUUG